Molecule: ribosomal RNA, 220 nt
Filed under: uncultured Actinomycetales bacterium
Lineage: Bacteria; Bacillati; Actinomycetota; Actinomycetes; Actinomycetales
Description: partial 16S ribosomal RNA
Rfam family: Bacterial small subunit ribosomal RNA
Source: RNAcentral
AGACACGUGGGUGAUCUGCCCUGCACUUCGGGAUAAGCUUGGGAAACUGGGUCUAAUACCGGAUAGGAGCCAUCUUUAGUGUGGUGGUUGGAAAGUUUUUUCGGUGUAAGAUGAGCUCGCGGCCUAUCAGCUUGUUGGUGGGGUAAUGGCCUACCAAGGCGGCGACGGGUAGCCGGCCUGAGAGGGUGUACGGCCACAUUGGGACUGAGAUACGGCCCAG